This 354-nucleotide ribosomal RNA is filed under the name Escherichia coli. Its description in RNAcentral is "partial 23S ribosomal RNA". It matches the Rfam family "Bacterial large subunit ribosomal RNA", at positions 1 to 391 of the family's 2925-position model. Lineage: Bacteria; Pseudomonadati; Pseudomonadota; Gammaproteobacteria; Enterobacterales; Enterobacteriaceae. The record is from RNAcentral.
GGUUAAGCGACUAAGCGUACACGGUGGAUGCCCUGGCAGUCAGAGGCGAUGAAGGACGUGCUAAUCUGCGAUAAGCGUCGGUAAGGUGAUAUGAACCGUUAUAACCGGCGAUUUCCGAAUGGGGAAACCCAGUGUGUUUCGACACACUAUCAUUAACUGAAUCCAUAGGUUAAUGAGGCGAACCGGGGGAACUGAAACAUCUAAGUACCCCGAGGAAAAGAAAUCAACCGAGAUUCCCCCAGUAGCGGCGAGCGAACGGGGAGGAGCCCAGAGCCUGAAUCAGUGUGUGUGUUAGUGGAAGCGUCUGGAAAGGCGCGCGAUACAGGGUGACAGCCCCGUACACAAAAAUGCACA